ACGGGUGCUAUACAUGCAGUCGAGCGGACAGAAGGGAGCUUGCUCCCGGACGUUAGCGGCGGACGGGUGAGUAACACGUAGGUAACCUGCCCCUUAGACUGGGAUAACUCCGAGAAACCGGAGCUAAUACGGGAUAAUAAAGAGAAUCACCUGAUUCUCUUUUGAAAGACGGUUUCGGCUGUCACUAAGGGAUGGGCCUGCGGCGCAUUAGCUAGUUGGUAAGGUAACGGCUUACCAAGGCGACGAUGCGUAGCCGACCUGAGAGGGUGAUCGGCCACACUGGGACUGAGACACGGCCCAGACUCCUACGGGAGGCAGCAGUAGGGAAUCUUCCGCAAUGGACGAAAGUCUGACGGAGCAACGCCGCGUGAGUGAGGAAGGCCUUCGGGUCGUAAAGCUCUGUUGUGAGGGAAGAACAAGUACCGGGGUAACUGCCGGUACCUUGACGGUACCUCACCAGAAAGCCACGGCUAACUACGUGCCAGCAGCCGCGGUAAUACGUAGGUGGCAAGCGUUGUCCGGAAUUAUUGGGCGUAAAGCGCGCGCAGGCGGCUUCUUAAGUCUGAUGUGAAAUCUCGGGGCUCAACCCCGAGCGGCCAUUGGAAACUGGGAAGCUUGAGUGCAGAAGAGGAGAGUGGAAUUCCACGUGUAGCGGUGAAAUGCGUAGAUAUGUGGAGGAACACCAGUGGCGAAGGCGACUCUCUGGUCUGUAACUGACGCUGAGGCGCGAAAGCGUGGGGAGCAAACAGGAUUAGAUACCCUGGUAGUCCACGCCGUAAACGAUGAGUGCUAGGCGGUAGGGGUUUCCAUGCCCGUAGUGCCGAAGAAACCCAUUAUCCCUCCGCCCGGGGAGGUCGGGCGCCAGGGUUUAACUUCAAGAAUUUGAAGGGGCCCCCCCCACCUUUGGCCCAUUUUGUUCAUACCAGCCUCGCCCAAAACUUUUCCCGGGUUUGGGCCCUUUUGACCCCGGGGAAUAAUGGUUCCCUCUCGGGAAAAGAACGAAAGGUCCCCCGUUUUUUUCCUCCCUCCAAAGAAAGGUUUGUCAGGGAAGGGCCUUCCC
RNAcentral lists this ribosomal RNA (1060 nucleotides) under Shouchella hunanensis. RNAcentral's name for it is "bacterial SSU rRNA". It matches the Rfam family "Bacterial small subunit ribosomal RNA", at positions 42 to 1092 of the family's 1533-position model. Lineage: Bacteria; Bacillati; Bacillota; Bacilli; Caryophanales; Bacillaceae. The record is from RNAcentral.